RNAcentral lists this ribosomal RNA (804 nucleotides) under Acinetobacter sp. 330(2010). RNAcentral describes it as "bacterial SSU rRNA". It matches the Rfam family "Bacterial small subunit ribosomal RNA", at positions 38 to 836 of the family's 1533-position model. The record is from RNAcentral. Lineage: Bacteria; Pseudomonadati; Pseudomonadota; Gammaproteobacteria; Moraxellales; Moraxellaceae.
GGCGGCAGGCUUAACACAUGCAAGUCGAGCGGGGAAGGGUAGCUUGCUACCUAACCUAGCGGCGGACGGGUGAGUAAUGCUUAGGAAUCUGCCAUUUAGUGGGGGACAACAUUCCGAAAGGAAUGCUAAUACCGCAUACGUCCUACGGGAGAAAGCAGGGGAUCUUCGGACCUUGCGCUAAAUGAUGAGCCUAAGUCGGAUUAGCUAGUUGGUGGGGUAAAGGCCUACCAAGGCGACGAUCUGUAGCGGGUCUGAGAGGAUGAUCCGCCACACUGGGACUGAGACACGGCCCAGACUCCUACGGGAGGCAGCAGUGGGGAAUAUUGGACAAUGGGCGGAAGCCUGAUCCAGCCAUGCCGCGUGUGUGAAGAAGGCCUUUUGGUUGUAAAGCACUUUAAGCGAGGAGGAGGCUACUGGUACUAAUACUACUGGAUAGUGGACGUUACUCGCAGAAUAAGCACCGGCUAACUCUGUGCCAGCAGCCGCGGUAAUACAGAGGGUGCGAGCGUUAAUCGGAUUUACUGGGCGUAAAGCGUGCGUAGGCGGCUUUUUAAGUCGGAUGUGAAAUCCCCGAGCUUAACUUGGGAAUUGCAUUCGAUACUGGGAAGCUAGAGUAUGGGAGAGGAUGGUAGAAUUCCAGGUGUAGCGGUGAAAUGCGUAGAGAUCUGGAGGAAUACCGAUGGCGAAGGCAGCCAUCUGGCCUAAUACUGACGCUGAGGUACGAAAGCAUGGGGAGCAAACAGGAUUAGAUACCCUGGUAGUCCAUGCCGUAAACGAUGUCUACUAGCCGUUGGGGCCUUUGAG